GAUGAACGCUGGCGGCGUGCCUAAUAUAUGCAAGUCGAGCGAACAGACGAGGAGCUUGCUCCUUUGACGUUAGCGGCGGACGGGUGAGUAACACGUGGGUAACCUACCUAUAAGACUGGGAUAACUUCGGGAAACCGGAGCUAAUACCGGAUAAUAUUUCGAACCGCAUGGUUCGAUAGUGAAAGAUGGCUUUGCUAUCACUUAUAGAUGGACCUGCGCCGUAUUAGCUAGUUGGUAAGGUAACGGCUUACCAAGGCAACGAUACGUAGCCGACCUGAGAGGGUGAUCGGCCACACUGGAACUGAGACACGGUCCAGACUCCUACGGGAGGCAGCAGUAGGGAAUCUUCCGCAAUGGGCGAAAGCCUGACGGAGCAACACCGCGUGAGUGAUGAAGGUCUUCGGAUCGUAAAACUCUGUUAUUAGGGAAGAACAAAUGUGUAAGUAACUGUGCACGUCUUGACGGUACCUAAUCAGAAAGCCACGGCUAACUACGUGCCAGCAGCCGCGGUAAUACGUAGGUGGCAAGCGUUAUCCGGAAUUAUUGGGCGUAAAGCGCGCGUAGGCGGUUUUUUAAGUCUGAUGUGAAAGCCCACGGCUCAACCGUGGAGGGUCAUUGGAAACUGGAAAACUUGAGUGCAGAAGAGGAAAGUGGAAUUCCAUGUGUAGCGGUGAAAUGCGCAGAGAUAUGGAGGAACACCAGUGGCGAAGGCGACUUUCUGGUCUGUAACUGACGCUGAUGUGCGAAAGCGUGGGGAUCAAACAGGAUUAGAUACCCUGGUAGUCCACGCCGUAAACGAUGAGUGCUAAGUGUUAGGGGGGUUCCGCCCCUUAGUGCUGCAGCUAACGCAUUAAGCACUCCGCCUGGGGAGUACGACCGCAAGGUUGAAACUCAAAGGAAUUGACGGGGACCCGCACAAGCGGUGGAGCAUGUGGUUUAAUUCGAAGCAACGCGAAGAACCUUACCAAAUCUUGACAUCCUUUGACCCUUCUAGAGAUAGAAGUUUCCCCUUCGGGGGACAAAGUGACAGGUGGUGCAUGGUUGUCGUCAGCUCGUGUCGUGAGAUGUUGGGUUAAGUCCCGCAACGAGCGCAACCCUUAAGCUUAGUUGCCAUCAUUAAGUUGGGCACUCUAAGUUGACUGCCGGUGACAAACCGGAGGAAGGUGGGGAUGACGUCAAAUCAUCAUGCCCCUUAUGAUUUGGGCUACACACGUGCUACAAUGGACAAUACAAAGGGCAGCGAAACCGCGAGGUCAGGCAAAUCCCAUAAAGUUGUUCUCAGUUCGGAUUGUAGUCUGCAACUCGACUACAUGAAGCUGGAAUCGCUGGUAAUCGUAGAUCAGCAUGCUAUGGUGAAUACGUUCCCGGGUCUUGUACACACCGCCCGUCACACCACGAGAGUUUGUAACACCCGAAGCCGGUGGAGUAACCAUUUGGAGCUAGCCGUCGAAGGUGGGACAAAUGAUUGGGGUGAAGUCGUAACAAGGUAGCCGUAUCGGAAGG
This 1503-nucleotide ribosomal RNA is filed under the name uncultured bacterium. RNAcentral's name for it is "bacterial SSU rRNA". It matches the Rfam family "Bacterial small subunit ribosomal RNA". The record is from RNAcentral.